AUUGAAACUAAUAGCUGAGGGAAAAUUACAUAUACUUGAAGCCACAACAUUUUUCAAGAAAGACCUAAUAUAAAAUACCCUGCCUGUGUAACACCGACAGACCCAGUCAUCGGAGGGCAGGAUUGAACCUGGGAUCUCUGGAGCCUAGUGCGUGAGCUUCUACUACGUGCCCUAAAAGGGUUCCCUGGUGCUGCAGGCUGUCAAUCCACUUACAAGGCUCAAAAGAACACUGGACCUUCCAUUGGCGUAAAGCGACAUAACUCCAGCGACUUCAUUGCGGCUAUGCUGACGUACACCAGCUGAGCAUAUGACCUAUGAGCUGAGGACUGGGGUCACUCAAGUGUGUGGAACUUUCCUAGCCCUGACUCUCAAGGCAGCAAACCCGAGGAGCUGGGGAUUUGCAGCUUGCAAGAGUUCCAAUAAUGCUAGGACAGAGAUAUUGAUAAACUGUCGGUGAAGAGCUCACUGGAAACCUGGAUUCACAGAAAUUAUCACCAUUACCUGAAGCUGAGAAGGACGCAUACUGAGGUGAUCCCUGACCGGCUAUCCUCAUUUCACCAUCUCCCAUUGUAUCCUAUCUGUUAAGAACAAAGAAUUUAAUCUGG
This is a long non-coding RNA of Gopherus evgoodei (Goodes thornscrub tortoise), 605 nucleotides long. RefSeq lists it as uncharacterized. The transcript is spliced from 5 exons. NCBI's taxonomy places the organism in Eukaryota, Metazoa, Chordata, Testudines, Testudinidae. The record is from RefSeq and is a predicted model, not a curated record.